GCGAGCGCACGUGUACUGUCUUCCUCCACCGCCCCGCUUCCUUCUCCCCUAUGGCAGCGGCCGCGCACGAUGGCGGGUCACGCCGUCGUCAUGCCGCAAGCCGCCUGCGUACCCGCAACCGCUGAUGCCAUCCUUCAUAUGCUGCUCCCGAUCCAUGUCGUACGGUGCUACUCAUCGCCAACCGCCAUCGCGGGAAGGACCGUGGUCGCUCAGUCGCAGCCGUGGGGAGGAGUCCCCUCGUCGCUCAAGGUGGGCUCUCUUCUUGCUCCUCUCCGUCCUAGCCGGCGCCGUUGGCCACAGGAAGACUCUCCCCCUCUCAUCUUUGGUUAUUUUGUGCUAUGAGGUGCUUGAUGAAAUUACGGUAUGAUACUUGCGUCCAUGGAUAACUCCUUCACCAGUCAUGACUGUCGGCCUCCAUUCCGAUGCUCGGCUGCAGUGCCGGCGCACACGUCGUCCGUCGAACAACCUUACAACCGGGUUACCAACCUGACGCCAAUGUACAUGUUGAACCCCUCUGUGUUUCUCACUCCGACAAUGACGAUGGUGAGUACUAGACGACGGACACACACAAGUCCCGGCUGCUCCACUCCAACAAGCUGAAGCUCGGAUCAUUUCAGUCAGCGGCAAUGGUGGUGAGGAAGUGUCCUUGCUCGGAGCUCCGAGGUGGUGCUUCGCGUUGGGCGUCUCCAGAGAGAAGUGUGCGAUGUCUUCUUGGAUGGUAAAUUGAUGGCCUGUUCUGUCACACAUUAUGCAGACAAUGAUUGCUCAGUUCUGUUAGUGAAGUAGUGGAGAGGCAAUGUUGUUGCCGUUUUCCUCAAAAGAUGAAGCAGUCACCGGACACGCCGCCUCGCCGUCCAUCGUUCCAUCCACCAGCAAUAAUGGAGGGUGUGCACAUGAAGUCUUCCUUCUCGCCUCUUCCUUCUGCCGCAUCUUUGGGUGCAUAAGCCGCGGGGGUGGACAACGAGACAAAACAACGAGAUGGUGGUUCUGGAGGAGUCGUGGAGAUGGUGGCGAGGUACACAACGGACCAGCAUCCGCAAACUGGUGCUCGCACAAGCUACCUCGGCUUGUCCAGGAGGUAUAGAAAUUUGAACUGGUAAGACCUUGUUUGGUUCAACAUUCAAUCACUAAAUCGGUUUGGAUGUCUCACCAAGACAUCAAGGAGAAGUCCAAGAUUCAACAUGGAAAAUCAUUACUACAUAUUCUGAAUUCCUUGAGUAGUCUUGGUUCAACAGCUUGAUGUGCUUUAUACAUAUGGAGCAUCGUUGAAUAUCGUCACUACAUAUUUAUACCGAUUAAUUUGUAGGAGCAGUCUAUGAUUCAACAUGAAAAUCUUAGGAAGUCAUUCUUUAACUGAAUAUGUACAAACAUUAGUUUCCAACCCAGCGAAGUCUGCUUAUAUCUAUUGUUGAUACUACUAAACAGGAGGUCGGCAGCAUUCUGUUUGUUCUUCAUAUUACCUUCUACCAUUGCAUAGUGAGAUACACGCUUGUCAGUUUGAAUGUUCCCCAUAUGCAAAACUUAUUUGCACUAGAUUCGUUUGGACCAGUUAUUUCUGAAAACUUGAAGCAACCCCAUAAUCUCUAAAUUAAGGGCAGGUCAGAAAUGUAGAACAACCAAUGUUUCUUUUUGAAGGCAUCACCCUUGCUUUGUUCUUUGUUGCUUCUCACUAUGAUGCCAUUUUUUUCCUUGAACAUGAUUUAUCCGGUUUUACCUAUGUACCUAUGGGCAGUAUGAUGGAAAAUUCAAUGAAGAUUAGAUGUUUUGAAACGCAACUGUUAAUUACUUUAUACUACCUCACCAGCCACACUACAUCACAGUGGGAUAUCACAACAAUGUUGUACACAGAUAAAACUUCAAGAAAUAAAGAUGUAUUUUGCGGAGACGAAAAAUUGUAAUGUUGUACACAUAUACAAGAUUCUUCACACUUUAUAUAUAGCUUGACCCUUGUGUAAUUUGCAGUUUACUGACUGUCAGUAUUUUAUACAUAUAUAAUCUGAUUCUGAGAGAAUACUCAGAUUUCUUGAUCCAUGUUACUAUGUUAGUAGUAGAUAUAAUUGUUGUUACAGGAUACAGGCAAUUUCUGAAAUCAUUCUUACCUUAGCCUGAUAAUCUGAAUGGUGUGUAGAUUAAUAAAAUGGAAACCUUGAAUCUCCACAUGAUUCUGUAAAAGGCUGAUCUUAUCACGUUAAUCAUUACAAACAAGAUUUGAGUUUCUUCUGAAACCAUAAAUCUCUGAGAGAUGUACUAAAUCGGCACCUUCAGGUUCAUACUUCACUUAUUAUACUACAAGUUAUCCAUUCAUAUAGUGCUGAAUUAUAUUUUUUCCUUUGUUCCUAAUACUUGAUGAUAAAAACUUGAAUGGGAUUGGAAGUUCUGUUUGUUAAGCUUCAUGCACUAGCCACUUGAACCAAAAGUCCGAACUGAUGGAAAGGGCUAGGCAAUCCACAUAUACACUUCACAACACCCCCACUCACGUGUGACGGGAGAAGAGAAAGUCAACACGUGAAAGAAGAAGAUCACACCGAAACAGCGGUGGAAAGAGGGGGCAACAGCAAUUUUUAGGCUUAAUUGCGAAAACCAUGUGAAAGCUAGGAUUUGAACUUGAGACCUGGAGCUCUGAUACCAUGUUAAGCUUCAUGCACUAGCCACUUGAACCAAAAGUCCGAACUGAUGGAAAGGGCUAGGCAAUCCACAUAUACACUUCACAACACUGUUUAGCUCAUAGCUCAUGAAAUAAAGUUCUGCUUAGGUCACUGUUCUGAAUGAACAUGCACCAGUUGCUUGACAUAGAGUCAGUUGUGCCACAUUUUCAGAUUUCGAACAUAAGACUGUAACAAGGAGAAAUCAGGACAAGCAUCAACAAAAAAAUCCUCAAUUGCUCAUUAUUUGGUUACCUAUUCAAGGUACAUGCUUCUGGGAUUUUGUCUUCCGUUUUGCUUGUGGGAUGCACUGAUGUAUGAAGUGAUGUCAGUUUUCUGAAAGUUCCAUUUAGAAAGUUUUCUGAUGAAUGUUAUUCUUAACCUAUCUCCAGUUCUGAAAGUUCCAUUAGAAAGUUUUAUGCUGAAAGUCAGACUACAAAUAGUGUGCUCUCAUAUUUGUGCUUAGACUAUUGCUUUCUAGCUCUCAUAUUCUGAGCCAAAUUGCUUUCCUUCCUUUCCUAUGCAUUAUUGCCAUGGAUUUGUCAAGAAGAACUCAAUAAAAUAAAAUAAAGGUUUAGUGAAAAUGGAUAAUUUUUGUGCAGUUUGUUUUACCCUCUUCGUCCGCACAUGUAACUAUAUGCUCUGAAUAACUUUUGACAUGUUUAAAAGCCAUAGAAGUAGGUUACUAGAAACUAUAUAUGGUUGGUAUCCCCCGAGAUAAAUUUUUUUUGAGAACCCCCGGGAGUUCCCCGUGUCAUUCCAUUAAGCAUCAGAGAAGAAAUAGAUUUACAAGAGAGCAAUGGCUUAAGUGCCAUAGAAACCACAGGUGGCUGAUGGCGCGAGAAGCGAUCGCAAUACACCGCACAGAAACGGGAUAACCAAGUGCUAUCCUCUCCCCUGCCCACGUCUAUCCUCCCCGAUGCUGUGGCCAACAGCCAAGGCCGUCGUAGCGAGAGCAUUGAACACACACACAUUCCUCUCCAACCAAAUGGAGCGGAUGACUAGCAGCACCAAGGAGUUGAACGCCUUGCUCAUGCAUCGAGGGGCAGCGAUAGCGGCGUCAGGCCACCAAACAUGCAACGACAAUGCGGGGUAGGCAUAGGUAGUUUCCAACCAAGGUGAUGGAACGCACAAGUCCAGUCAGCCACGGCAUACGGGCAUUGCAGAACGAGGUGGUCAUAGGUUUCGGCCGCCGCAUUACAGGGUGGGCAGGUGCCAUGGUUAGGGAGCCCGCGCUGCUACAUCCUAUCGGCAGUCCAACACCUUUGUCGGAGAGCAAGCCAUCCAUGAAAGCGAAACUUCGCUGGCGCGAAGGAAUGCCACAGCUAGGCUGCGCGGGGAGGGCGAUCUGUCCCCCGAGAUAUUUGUAAGUUUCUAUUCCUCAUCUACCACAAUGCUAUGUAAUCCUGCCUAAAUGAUGGUGUAUUUUAUUUGUUAUUAUGAUUCUUUUACAAGUAAACAUGUCAUAUUUGCAUAUACCUGACCAAGGAUUAAGCCCAACAUGUCAGAUGUAUUGCACACGAUCUAGAGGAACUUAUGUGAGCAACAAAGUUAGCAGCUACACUCUCUCCCUUCUCGGGUGCACUGGCCAAUUGUAGCGGCGGGGGAGAAUCAGGAGGGAGAAGAGGCGGUACCAUAGUUUUUUUUUGGUCAAGAAUGGGUUUAUAAGUGAAUCACACCCACCUCCAGAGGUAUGGUAUCAAUAUGAAACCUACCAGAUUUAGAAUUCUCUAAUUGUUUUUAUUUGGACGUGUGUGAUUUGCUACAUCUCAUGUUUGGUGGACGCAUCAGGGUUCAAGAGAUCCUAUUGUGGGUCGGAGCUUUGAGCUGACGGCGGGAUCUCUAUAGUGCAGAGAAACUGUGAGCUAAAGAUCAGUCGUGGUUCGACCAAUUCUUAGAGUGGAAAACGUAUGUUCAGGCACACCCUCUUUGCUAGAUUAUAAAUAGGCAUGGAAAUUAUGCUUGGAUAAAUUUAUCUAAAGUUGUAAAUCAAACAGAACCUUAUACUCAUUUUUUUAUGCUGUCCACAUUUCUCGAAGGUCUUGUA
Non-coding RNA from Lolium perenne, 4689 nucleotides. The record is from RefSeq and is a predicted model, not a curated record. NCBI's taxonomy places the organism in Eukaryota, Viridiplantae, Streptophyta, Magnoliopsida, Poales, Poaceae.